GGCAAGCUAGGUAGCUCUAGCUUGUGACCCAUGUGGGGGCAUCAAUGUGAUGGAACAUGCCUAUGGCAUGCUGGGUGGGGAUGGUUCAACAAAACUUGGUAUGCCCACUCCAAGUUAAGAGUAGAGCCAUGGUAUUUGGGUGAAGAUAUCAAGUGUCAUGAUGGAACAUGCCUAUGGCAUGCUAGGUGGGAUGGUUCAACAAAUGUUGGCGUGCCCGCUCCAAGUUGAGAGUUGAGCCAUGGUAUUU
RNAcentral lists this non-coding RNA (247 nucleotides) under Lupinus angustifolius (narrow-leaved blue lupine). Lineage: Eukaryota; Viridiplantae; Streptophyta; Magnoliopsida; Fabales; Fabaceae. The record is from RNAcentral.